AGACUCAGGAGGCGUCUCUCCGAGGGUGUGGGCUGUGAUGGGGCCCUGUGCACCCAUCCAGGCUGCCCAGACCAGGAGAGCACAGGUCAGCCAGACACAUGAUGGGGGCACGCUAGAAACGCAGAAGGGGACGCAACAGCCACAUUCCAGUCCACAAAGACACCGCGCAGGCCCGUCCAUCUGCCCCGUGAAUGCCACCCAGGCAGAGACACACAUACAGCUGAGGCUGGGCCGGAUCCCAGAGCAAACCCUUGGGUGCCUCUGGAGGGAGCCCGCCAAGAGGGAUGGCUCAUAAACACUGGGGAAGGAACAGAAGGGGAGGGAGCAAAGGAACUCGGCCGCUCACCUCCGACCCAACCACUUCCUGAGAAGCCAUCUCUGUGGUCAUGGUGGUCCCAGGCCUGGCUCUCCCUGCGCCCACCCCCACCACCCAGUCACUCCACCCAGUCACCCCACCCAGCUGUGACCUGCCGCUUCCCUCCAUCUCACAUGCUUUCCCCUCACCUCCCUCAGGAAGCCUCCCCAACCUCUGGCCUCCAGUCCCAACAAGCCAUGCUCCUUCCAGAGGGAACCUCUGCCAGGGGAGCCUCCACUUUCUUGCUCCUGCCUCCCUACCUGGCACCCAGGCCGGCCCUGGUACCCUGGUACUGAAUAAAGGCACACGUCUAAAUGAUGUCGGGGGGAAUCUGCCCAGUGUUGGCACUGGAGCGAACACGACCCACUGCCAGCAUGGCCCACGAGCCACGCCCCCCCCAAGCCAGCACCUCCUCCCCAGAGGAAGCACGGGGCUCAAGGGGGCACGCCCCUGAAUGGGAGGUCACACAUGGUGAGGGCUCCCUUGUUCCCAGAGGCCUAGCUGUCUCCCUGCUCAGAUGCAGAGCUCACUAUGGGCCUCGCAGGGGCUUAAGCCGAGUCAUCUUCACAGCAGCUGCAGGUCCCGCUGACAUAGCUGACACAUAGGGAGCUAAAGUGACUUGUGCAAGGUCACAGGCUAGGAGUAGCAGCACGGGGCCCAGCACGAGGAACAGCCUCAGCAUCCCCCGCCUCCCCAACCCUGCAGCCUGCCCUGACUCCAAUCCCAGGGGAAUUCCCGAGCUGCAGGCAAAGGCUGAAGCAGGAGCCGACAAGCCCUGCUGAGCCCAGAGAGGUCUGGGCGGUCCCAGGAGGGCGUCUCCCUAGGGCUUUGAUGAGUUGGCGGCCGCCCAGGCACCUCUGCCUGCCUGCCCAGCAUGGCAGGUGCGUGGGCUGGAGCUUCUGCCCAGCCCUGCCCCACAGCCACAAUUAGGGAACGAGUGCAGAUAAAGCACGGGGGCCAGUUACAUCUGAAUUUCAGAUAAACAAUGAAUUGUUAUUUUAGUACAGUAUGAAAGUAUUUGGCCCCAAAGAACUGGAAGCAGGAAAAGGAACAGGUCCUCAUACACCCAUGCUCAUAGCAUUAUUCACCAGAGCCGGAAGGUAGAAACGAUGUCUCUCCACAGUUGAAUAGAUUGUUUCCACAAACUGUCUGUAGGUGCAUACAAUGGAAUAGGAUUAAUCCGUGAAAAGGAAGAAAUUCUGACACAUGCUCCAGCGUGGAGGAACCUUGAGGACAACACUGAGUGAAAUAAGCCAGACACGAAAGGACAGAUACGGCAAGACUCGACUUACGUGAGGUCCCUAGAGGAGUCGGAUUCAUAGAGACUGAAAGGAUGGCGGGCACCAGGGGCGGUGGAGAGGGGAAAUGGGGAGUUACUGUUUAAUGGGGACAGAGUUUCAGUUUUACAAGAUGAAAAGGGUCCUGGAGCUGGAUGGGGGUGACGGCCGCACAACAGCAUGAAUGGACUGAACGCCACUGAACUGAACUCUUGAAAAUGGUUAAACUGGCAAAUUUUGUUAUGCAUAUUUUGCCACAAAAAGCAAACAACUCUUCUCCCCAAAAAUAUCUGGGGUGUACUUACACUAAAUAUGUAGGGCAUAUUUACGCUCAACAUUUAUUUCCUUAUUUGAAAUUAAAGUAUUUGGGACACACUGC
This 2011-nucleotide non-coding RNA is filed under the name Pan troglodytes (chimpanzee). The record is from RNAcentral. Lineage: Eukaryota; Metazoa; Chordata; Mammalia; Primates; Hominidae.